Pseudoliparis swirei is the source of this 5767-nucleotide long non-coding RNA. RefSeq lists it as uncharacterized. The record is from RefSeq and is a predicted model, not a curated record. The transcript has 2 exons. NCBI's taxonomy places the organism in Eukaryota, Metazoa, Chordata, Actinopteri, Perciformes, Liparidae.
UGGGGGUGUGUGUUCUGCCAAAAAAAGCUAACGCGGCGUGGCGCUUCCACUGAGGCCCGGAGCUGCACGUUCAGCUCUUUGGAGGAUGACUCGCACCGACUAACUCGCACUGUCGGCACUUUAUUUAAACGGACAACAAUCAAACCCCCCCUCUCUCCCGAAAUAUUGGCUCUCUGGAUAUCAAAAAGCGAGCAGCAGGGAGGUCGACGAGGUCGCGGUCAUCGCGGUCGGCCGUCCCGGAUGUUAUUUCAUCCGUCUCCCGUAUGACUUACACGCAAAUCAAUUAUUUCACCCUAAUGGUGCAAAAUUGCCGGCUGCAAGAUUUAGAGUUCAAAUAAAUUGUGCGCAGGAGAAGAAGAAGAAGAAGAAGAAGAAGAAGAAGCCCGGGCGGGUGGCAGGUGACCAAGCCAUCGCGAAGAAGCCAAUUAUCAAAGUGAAUACGGAUGUGCAGUAUCAUGCUGUUGUAAUUAUUCUAAAAGAAACACGCUUAAAGCCAGGAUGUCUUAAAAGUGCUCUGUUUAUCCUCCCGUGUGUGAUAACUUUGGAUUAUAUGGAGUGCAACGCGGAGAUGUUUGAGCAACCUCAGGAACCAGGACGCUUCUGGAAAAGAACACGAUCCGUUUCCCCCAUUGAUCGGCCGGCACUCAGUCCGGAGCAUCUGAGGACACGGGGUUUUUUUUUUGUUGGGACCGAGCCCUGAAACACAAUCUUUCCACCCUCUUCAACUCCUCUUCCUAAGCACACAAUUGUCUUUUGAACGACCUUGUGGUGGUCUCUUUUUUACAUUAGUUUUUACUACACUGACCAAUUUCGACUACUUCUACAGGAAAAGUGGUUGAAAGGCUUCAUCGUAUUUUCUCUCCCCCCCCCAGUAGGACACACAUGAUUUCCUCUGGUGGUAUAGAAAGUAUAUACUUCAUAUGUUAAAGCUGCAUUCUAUCUACUGACCACCAGGGGGCGACUCCCCUAGUUGUAUAGAAGUCUAUGCUUCAUGUGUUAAAGCUGCAUUCUAUCUACUGACCACCAGGGGGCGACUCCUCUGGUUGUAUAGAAGUCUAUACCUCAUGUGUUAAAGCUGCAUUCUAUCUACUGACCACCAGGGGGCGACUCCCCUGGUUGUAUAGAAGUCUAUGCUUCAUGUGUUAAAGCUGCAUUCUAUCUACUGACCACCAGGGGGCGACUCCUCUGGUUGUAUAGAAGUCUAUGCCUCAUGUGUUAAAGCUGCAUUCUAUCUACUGACCACCAGGGGGCGACUCCUCUGGUUGUAUAGAGGUCUAUGCUUCAUGUGUUAAAGCUGCAUUCUAUCUACUGACCACCAGGGGGCGACUCCUCUGGUUGUAUAGAAGUCUAUGCCUCAUGUGUUAAAGCUGCAUUCUAUCUACUGACCACCAGGGGCCGACUCCUCUGAUUGCAUAGAAGCAUAUGCUUCAUGUGUUAACCCUUGUGUUGCCUUCGGGUCAAUUUGACCCGAUUCAAUGUUUAACCCUCCUGUUACCUUUAUAUUUACUAACAUAUUUUUCCCUUGAGGUCAAUAUGACCCCAGCUAUUAAAAUCUCCAGAAAAUUAUUAGAAUUAAUAUUGUUUUCCAAGUUUAAGUGUGAGGUACUUUAUGUUUGUUUGUUGACUCCCGAAAGAACACCGACAUUAAACAUUGAAUCGGGUCAAAUUGACCCGAAGGCGACAGGAGGGUUAAAUAUUGAAUCGGGUCAAAAUGACCCGAAGGCAACACAAGGGUUAAAGCUGCAUUAACACAUCCGAUUUAACUUUUUCGCUCCUGCUUGUCGUCGACUCGGCAUUCGUCGUUGUCGCCGAUCCAAAAUAUUCUCAACAUCCCGAAAAGGCUCUCGCAAUCCAGUCUUGGCUCACGACGAGUCGAUCGCAUACGAGGAGCCUCGCGUCACAUUUAUAUUGUUGGCGUACGCUCGACGCCAAGAUGUAAAAGAAAGGAAAUAGAGACGCGAGGGGUCCAACAAGUGCACCGCGGAGCCUUCGCACCACGACGGGAAUUUUAGCGUGAUAGAAGAAGAAGAAGAAGAAGAAGAAGAAGCAGAAGAAGAAGAAGCAGCAGAUGAAGAAAAAAGAAAAGCGCCUCGACCGCUGGAGGAGAUUCUCUUCUCUUUUCUCAGUUUCGGUCGACAGUGGAAAUUCACUGGGUUCUAGCAGCCGAGUGUUGGCUCAGCUGCGCGCUUUAAGAACCCAUGAUGUCAGAGCCUUAUUUUCCUUGGUGAGACUCUCAUCAGCUGCAUUGUUACAGGAAACCAUGGUCUGUUCUCUGGGCACCAACAACAAAAACACACUACAAUGUAGUCUCCCCCCCCCCAUAAGACCCCACCCCUCCCACUGCAACACUUCCUCCUUCUAUCAGAGGACGAGUGUCGGACCCCAACGACGCUCACGACUUCUGAGGCCUGAAAUACCGCGCCUGACAGGUGAUGAGAGCGGAUGAAAAGUUCAAACAAUCGAAACUCAACACACGAGGCCCCCCCCCCCCCCCCCCCCGGAAAAAAUCUGGACGCGAUUACGACAAAAACAAGACCGAAUAUGAACCGGCGCCGGCACCGCCGGCAGUUGAAUAAACUCGGCUGGCAUCGGUCGGAGGUCCGACGAGCCGUGUUGUGGAAACAUAACGACUCGGUAAAUAAUGUUUCGUGGAUACACACAGGAUCACAUCUGGUCCUCGUAAGAUGUUUUGACUCUUGGCUUUUUCUUCUUCUUCUUCUUCUUCAUGAUUUUUAUCAGAGAAAUAUGGUAAUGAUUUCUGUGAAAUUCAGGACCAGGAAGAAGAAAACAACAAUCCGCCGUGACCUUCGCCCAAAAGUUCAGAGGAGAGUUCGUCGACGCUCCUCGGCGAGUGACGAAGGAAGCUUCGGAUCGGCUGGCGAUCGACUCGCCGUCCAGACAUGUGGGAAAAAGGGAAGGAGAGAUUAUCGGGAGGAGAGCGAGAGCGAGAGAGAGGUUACGACAACAGAGCUCGGAGCUCACAAGUUCAGUUGUGCUUCUGCUGGAACGGCCGUGCCCCCGCGGACGAGUUCAGUCCUUCGGUAGAAGUCCUUCGCCCUCCAACAAUAAUACUUACGAAAUAAAGGCCGACCGGCUCCAAGCAAAAUCUCCUCAGCUGAGUUCAACCUCUGUUAUUCAAGUCCACGGCGUCCUGUGGUGUUAAUAAGGUGCGUCUUUUGAGCCGGGAAGAGCUACGUCAACACGGAGGCCCUUUUGGUCUGCGCCAGCCUCCGCCUCCUAUCCUCAGCUGAUGGUGGUGCGGGCUCUCCGCCAUCGAAGCUUUUUAAAUGAAUAGUAAGACCUCUGGUUGUGUAGAAGCAUAUGCUUCAUGUGUUAAAGCUGCAUUCUAUCUACUGACCACCAGGGAGCGACUCCCCUGGUUGUAUAUAAGCAUAUGCUUCAUAUGUUAAAGCUGCAUUCUCUCUACUGACCACCAGGGGGUGACUCCUCUGGUUGUAUAGAAGUCUAUGCUUCAUGUGUUAAAGCUGCAUUAUCUCUACUGACCACCAAGGGGCGACUCCUCUGGUUGUUUAGAAGCAUAUGCUUCAUGUGUUAAAGCUGCAUUAUCUCUACUGACCACCAAGGGGCGACUCCUCUGGUUGUAUAGAAGCAUAUGCUUCAUGUGUUAAAGCUGCAUUCUCUCUCCUGACCACUAGGGGGUGACUCCUCUGGUUGUAUAGAAGUCAACGCUUCAUGUGUUAAAGCUGCAUUCUCUCUACUGAUCACCAAGGGGUGACUCCUCUGGUUGUAUAGAAGUUUAUAUAAAUGACAAUACUUCUCUCUUGAUGUAUUCCCUCAGCAAACAUUGUAAACAUGAGUUUUUGUCUCAAUCUCUAGUUUCAAGUCUUCUUCUAUACAGCAUGAUGUCAUCAUUUAGUACAUUAUGGUCAUUUAGAGUCACACAGACCUUGAAGAAGGAUUGUGUUUUAGGGCUACGAGGUGAUUGGCGUUGACUUUAACACUUUCACAGCGUGUUUUCAGUUCAUAAACGUUCAUUAUAACCACUUUGGUUGAUUUGUUUAAACGUCUCAGUCAGCGUGCGGUUGUACUUCGCUUCUUCCGGUUGCAAAAAUUCAAGAUGUCGACCGUGCAUGUCACGUGUCAACAUUUCUGACCACAAAAUAUACAUUUCAUGAACAUGUUUAUAUCUCGUUUGCAGAAACCGAUGAUUACAAUGUACAUUAUGUAAAAAGUGUAAAGUCAAUGUAACCUUUGCUUGUUUUAUUGUUUCUUUGCCUCGUGAACAGUUGUUUACUCUCCUCAGCAAGACAGCGAGUGAGUGCAUUUCACCGUAGCCUCUCGUCUUAAUGUCAGCAAUAGUCCGUCAUCUCGUCUCCCCGGUUAUUACAUGUCACUGACCUUCUGUUGCCGGUCCAUCAGGUGAGCGUGACCACUGAAUGGGCGUCUUUCAUGCGACCCGCUGGCUUCAUCUCAGCUUGUGGAUUUAGCAGCAAAAGAUUCACAUUUAAUUCUCGCCCCUCUGACCUCCAGCGAUCCGCCUCGGAAUAAAAACCGACCUCCGUGUUUCACCCCUCUUUCAUCAUAUCUAAAAAAAAAUAAAAAAAAUAAAGAGCCAUUCACCUCCUUCUUUACUCUAACGCGAGGGAUGAAGGCGGGAACACGAAAAUCAUCGUCGUCUCGGUAAGCGCCGCAUCGGAAACGUCGUAUAAAUAUUUUUAUUAACGUAAAUAUUUGAUUGACACCUUCUGGAUGGAGAAUGUACCUUUUUCUUCUGUUAUUUGGGUGAAGCAACACUUUAAAAAGUAGUUAAAUUAACAAUAUUAAUCCAAUCUCAAGCUAACAGCCAUUUGGAUAACUCUUAGUUUCGUUAGCCAAAAUAAAUGUACUGUGUAGGAGAACUCUGCCAAUAAGUCACGCGUUAUAACUAUUUAUUGUGUGAUAUUUCUUGCCAUAAACAACCGCAGCUAGUUCUUCAACAACAACAGCGUUGACCGAAACAUUUGACCCUUUUCAAUCGGCCCCCGUGUCCACCGCUAAGUCCAUAUCUCACACAUAUCUCUGAAAAGCUGGAAAAAGCGGGAAAUACUAUGAGCCGGAAAAAGGUCAAACGAUCACAAGCCUAUAAAAGAUUUAUUGGAAGUCACAGUGGGAAGAAUGACGACGCAUCUGCGCUGCCUCAAAAAAGCGUUUUGGCCGCAUCGCGCCCCGAGAGUUUAUCUGGCGGUUGCGUCUCCGGCGUGUCGUGAACACGGCGGUUAUCUCCACGGUAAUGGGGAACAGGCGGCGGCCAUGUUGGGAGAGAACAAAGACAUCUGGGUGGGACCCGAAAGGGGGGAAGGAAAAACAGGGGGCCACUGCGAAAAAUAAUAAAAACGAGUGGGGAAACACAUUUUUUUCCAUUCGGGGUUCCCGGUGGCUCGGAUCCGGAGGAAAAGACGGAUCCAACACCUGCGCCGCGAGGAGAUGACGUCCGAACGCAGAGUUCAGGUCACGGCGUGUGGAAACGUGUUGCGUGUGAUCACCGAUUGAUACUCGUUUCAGGACAUGAGGCUGAAGGGACGCGGCGUCCGGGGCCUCAACCCGGCCUUCGGGCGGAGCCUUCCUCUGCUCGCGGACCAGAGCUUGAGCUUCACUCCGGCGGAGCGCGCCUUGAAAAUGGUGCGCAGGAACUCCGACAUCGAUAUGCUGUGGUGUAUGAUUGGAAGAGUGUACCGACCCUGCUGGAAAAAAAUAAAUGUUUCCCCGAUGCUGCCGCCGUCCAGCCUGAUUGUGCUGUAAAAUUAAAAAUUAAAAAUUAAAUUCCUUA